AUGAAAGAUUAUUAUUUGGAGACAAAGGAACUAAUAAAGGAUUACCAGAGUGGAUUUAGAAAGGGACGAAGCACAAUAGAUCCAGCUAUACGUUUAGAGAGUGAAAUUAGAAAAGCCCAAAUUAAUAAAGAAAGUAUAGUAUCUGUAUUUUUUGAUGUAGAAAAGGCAUACGAUAUGUUGUGGAAACAAGGAUUAAUGAUUAAGAUUUUUCAGUUGGGGAUAAGAGGGAGAAUGUAUAGUUGGAUCAAAAACUUUUUAACGGAUAGGUGGAUCGCAGUAAGAAUAGGGAAAGAAUUGAGUACAAAGUAUUUAGUGGAAAAUGGAACUCCUCAAGGGAGUAUAGUUAGUCCAGUUUUGUUCUCAAUUAUGAUAAAUGAAGUGUUUAGUAGAGUGGAUAGAUCUAUAAGUGUUUCUUUAUUUGCAGAUGACAGAGUUAUGUGGAAAAAGGGAAGAAAUGUAGAAUAUAUAGUGAGGAAGAUGCAAGAGGCAAUUGGAAGAGUAGAGUGUUGGGGAAGGGAAUGGGGUUUUAGGUUUUCUGUAGCAAAGACCAAAGUAGUAUGUUUUUCACAAAGGAAAAAUCAAGAACAGAUUCAACUUAAACUUUAUGACAAAAAUCUAGAGAAGGUGGAAUGUUUUAAAUAUCUCGGGAUAUGGUUUGACAAAAAGCUAAAAUGGAAAAUACAUAUUGAGAAUGUUGUUAAAAAAUGUAAAAGAAUACUAAAUGUAGGAAGAUGUCUGAGAGGUAGAGAGUGGGGAGCAAGUAGGACUUCAUUGAAAGCAGUAUAUAUUGGUUUAAUUAGGUCAGUUAUUGAUUAUGGAUGUACAAUUUACCAGUCUGCAUCAAGAACAUUAUUAAAAAGGUUGGAUGUGAUUCAAAGUCAGGCGUUGAGACUCUGUUGUGGUGCUUUUAAAACAACUCCAGUAGCAGCAUUACAAGUAGAGAUGAAUGAGAUGGCUUUGGAUAUUAUAAGAAAUCAGAUAGCAUUAACGUAUUGGGCAAAUCUAAAAUGGCAUAAAGAAAGUCAUCCGACUCAGAAGGUGUUACAACCUUGUCAAGAAAAAGAAAGACGACUGAGUGAGAGCUUUGGUUGGGUAAUAGGUGAUGCAGUCAAUGAGAUAGGGAUAGGAGAUAUGACGAUAAGCCCCAUUGUGCCUUUAUCCAAUGUUCCUCCUUGGCUAUUAGGGGAAUUAGAGGUAGAUAUGCACCUUUUAGAGUUUAAAAAAACAGUAGUAUUGACAGGAGUGAAGUUAGUAGAUACCUAG
This 1263-nucleotide long non-coding RNA is filed under the name Carassius auratus (goldfish). RNAcentral's name for it is "lncRNA (ENSCARG00000042955.1)". The record is from RNAcentral. Lineage: Eukaryota; Metazoa; Chordata; Actinopteri; Cypriniformes; Cyprinidae.